Molecule: non-coding RNA, 71 nt
Organism: Parelaphostrongylus tenuis
Lineage: Eukaryota; Metazoa; Nematoda; Chromadorea; Rhabditida; Metastrongylidae
Source: the annotation of a GenBank genome assembly
GCCUCAGUAGUGUAGUGGUAGCACGCGCCCAUGGCAUGGGUGAAAAGAGGGUUCAACUUCCGCCUGGGGUC